UAUAAAUCGUAUUCGACAAAAAAGCAUGAAGUAGUCUAUUUAUUAUAUACAUCUCCAAUUUGUACAUAUUUUAAAUUGAAAUUUUGUCAGAUCUUUCAACUACGAGAACGACGAUGAUAUUUCUCGCGUCGUGACCUGCUCACAUACGACCUGUCGCUUUUACUACGAUGAAGUAAAUAGUUCACUCAAUUUAUACUCAUUUCAAAUUGUCAAAGAAAACAAAAUACAAAUGUGAAUCAAAAACAUUUAUUCAAAUUGGCAUUUUAUCAAUUUUUUAAUUUAUUAUUGUAUACAACUCAUUGUCCAAACAAUGUUUCGCACUAACGUCAAUGCGUAGGAAUACAUAAUAAUCCAUAGUCAGCUGAUAGUGUUCAGAGAAAAACAACGUCGCACACUCGUUUCGCUUCGAAAGUUUGAACUUUUGUCAACAAAGUCAACAGCGUAAAAGGAUAUAACAAACACUGAAUAUGAACGUGAAAAGGUAAGUCCAAACAUAUUUUGUUGUCAAUAUUUUAUGACGAACAUUAUUUAUGCCAUAUUUCCAAGAUGAUCUUGUCAUUCUAUUGCAAGCAUGGUCUUUUCGGUGGUAACUCGUCUUCACAUGUGUUUGAUAUUGUCGCAUUUGCAGUGUGUUUUUCGGAGGACAUUGACCAUGUCAGGUGAUAGACAUAUGUUAACAUUUCCGUUGAUUGUAUUUCCAGACAACAAGCUUGUCAGAAAAUGUUGAUUCUGAAGGCGGUUGGACACAGAUUGCAUCGCAAAUCCACCCUGCAUUGGUGCCGAGUCCGGAUUUCGAUCAGCUGUUGUGACUGUGCUGCUGGCGGUGUUACUGUUUGACAGAAUGCGAGAUAUUCCCUUCUGCUUUUCAGUAUUCAUACUUGACUGUCAUCUCACCAGCUAUCUGAAUGAUGUCAUUGGGAGAAACGCCGCUGUCUGUUAACUUCUGGACCAGGUGUUUCCUCAUACUGAAAAAAUCCAAAAAUGAUUCAGGUAUAUUCAAUAUCAUGCCAUUUAUUUGAUAUUUAUUACCUAAUUUAUUUUGACUUACUUUAUGGCUGAUUGGCAUUGUAUUUCCCAAUAUUAUACUAAAGUGUUUAUCCAAAACUAAUAAAGAUAUUGAAUAUUUACCUGUAUGGUGUCAAUCUUUUGUCAUCAGCUAUGUCAGCACCUUCUGUCAUAGCAUUCAUAAUUCCAUAUAGCUUGUUGACACCUAGUUGGGCAUUUUUGUACCAGUACGACUGUUCCUUCCUGUUGUUAUUGACUGCUAGAAAAAAUGGACUGUCUGGUGUACAAGAGGCUGGUGGUCGUCUUUGUCUGUACAAUUUAUAUGCAUUGACAGGGCAUCUUUCCAGGUCUUCUGGUGUUGCAUAGGCUCUUGGUUUUAUUUGCCGUAUAUUUUUAGGAUUAUCCCCAGGUCUUGUUUUUGUUUGUCGCUCACUUAUAAAGAUAAGAUACUCGGAUCCAUCAUCAUCAUUUCUAAUGUCAAUGUCUCCCCAUUUUAAAUUUCUGGUUUCCUUUCCGGUUCUCAUGCCGACGUUCAGACAACAAAUCAUCCACAUGGGGUGAAGGAGGCUGUGGGGGUUAUCACUUCCGAGGGUCUUGGCAUCGUACAUGGCAUCAAUAUCCAUAUCUGACAGCUCUUCAGCAGCCUUUGAUCUCGAAGAAACCUUGAAACAUCAUCAUCACUGAUAGAUUGAUACUUUUAUCACCAAGUAUGCUGUAAUUUAUUGCAGAUAAUAAAUUAUCC
Molecule: long non-coding RNA, 1747 nt
Organism: Haliotis rufescens (red abalone)
Lineage: Eukaryota; Metazoa; Mollusca; Gastropoda; Lepetellida; Haliotidae
Exons: 3
Source: RefSeq, a predicted model, not a curated record